RNAcentral lists this transfer RNA (74 nucleotides) under Tanytarsus formosanus. RNAcentral describes it as "tRNA-Glu". Lineage: Eukaryota; Metazoa; Arthropoda; Insecta; Diptera; Chironomidae. The record is from RNAcentral.
UUUUGUAUAGUUUAUAGAUAAAACCUUAUAUUUUCAUUAUAAAAAUAAAGACAAUUUUAAUUCUUUUACAAAAA